CCUACGGGUGGCUGCAGUGGGGAAUAUUGCACAAUGGGCGCAAGCCUGAUGCAGCCAUGCCGCGUGUGUGAAGAAGGCCUUCGGGUUGUAAAGCACUUUCAGCGGGGAGGAAGGCGUUAAGGUUAAUAACCUUGGCGAUUGACGUUACCCGCAGAAGAAGCACCGGCUAACUCCGUGCCAGCAGCCGCGGUAAUACGGAGGGUGCAAGCGUUAAUCGGAAUUACUGGGCGUAAAGCGCACGCAGGCGGUCUGUCAAGUCGGAUGUGAAAUCCCCGGGCUCAACCUGGGAACGGCAUUCGAAACUGGCAGGCUAGAGUCUUGUAGAGGGGGGUAGAAUUCCAGGUGUAGCGGUGAAAUGCGUAGAGAUCUGGAGGAAUACCGGUGGCGAAGGCGGCCCCCUGGACAAAGACUGACGCUCAGGUGCGAAAGCGUGGGGAGCAAACAGGAUUAGAUACCCUAGUAGUC
Molecule: ribosomal RNA, 465 nt
Filed under: uncultured Klebsiella sp.
Lineage: Bacteria; Pseudomonadati; Pseudomonadota; Gammaproteobacteria; Enterobacterales; Enterobacteriaceae
Description: bacterial SSU rRNA
Rfam family: Bacterial small subunit ribosomal RNA
Source: RNAcentral